This 11888-nucleotide long non-coding RNA is filed under the name Zea mays. Its description in RNAcentral is "long non-coding RNA (ZMAY_LNC000064)". The record is from RNAcentral. Lineage: Eukaryota; Viridiplantae; Streptophyta; Magnoliopsida; Poales; Poaceae.
UGCGACGCCAUGAAUACAAAGGAGACCGGACACGAGCAAGCGGCACCUCACUCCCUCUCCCUCUCUCCUCAGCCAAAGUUGACAGCAGCCUACAAGCGCCAGCAGAGCUCUUCCCGGUGGCCAUGGCCAAGCCCCCGCUUCAGACGGCCACGAUCAUCCUGCUCGCGCUCCUCGCGGCCGCGUCGUGCCUCCACACCGUCGACGCCGUCGCUUUAGGUAAGUGCGUACAUACUACUACUACAUGCGAGCGACACCCUUAGCGUGGUUGUCAUCCGUCUUGAUCCCGUGCAUAGAUGAGCAUGCAGCCCAGAGCACGGUAGCCCGGCACGAGGCCCGUUUUUUUGGCCCGGCCCAAGCACGGCCCGGCCCGGUUGGCUUCGUGCCCGGGCCAGCCCGGCCCAUUUUACCAGGCCGUGCCUGGGCUGCUGGGUGCGCCCGCCGGGCGGCACGGCCCGGCCCGCCAGAGAGCGGCAGGCACGGACCGGCCCGGUACGGGGAAGCGCAUAGCCUCGGCUUCGGCUCCCGACCCGACACUCCGUCUCCUCUCUCACUCAGUCACUCUCUCGCGCUCGCGGUUUCGCUCUCGCCCUCGGCCUCUCCGUCUCUCCUCCUGCUCUGCUGGCUGCUGCUCACCGCCUCACCGUCGGCCGUCGCCGUAGUCUCUGUCGGAUCUACGUCGCCGUAGUCUCUGCUCUGCGGCGCCCCUCUCCAGACUCCGGCUCUGCAUCGGUUGAUCGGUGAAAUCCCUAACCCUAAUCACAAAUCCCUAACCCUAAUCUCCGCUCCGGACUCUCCCUCCCACCGUCCCCCGUCAUCGUCUCCGGCUCCGGGCUGCGGCUUGGCAGAGAUAAGUCCCUCUCCGGCUCUCCCUCUCCAGUUGGCCAUCCCAAUCCCUAACCCUAACCCUAAUCUCCUCUUCUCCGGCUGACCGACUCUCCCUCUCGCGUCGUCCGUCGUCGACCGUCGUGCACUUUACCCUCGUCUCCGGCUCCGGGCUCCGGCUUGGCAGGUAUGUCACUCUUCCUCGCUUCCUCACCAGUUGACCAUUCCAAUCCCUAACCCUAACCCUCGCUGCUUGCUUGUGGACUUUGGUAGGUCGCCGGCCGACUACGGAGUCGUGCUAGUGCCGCCACUGCCGUCGAGGAACGGUGCCGAGAUAGAAGUCGGUUAUGGAUGACGACGACGACAACGGUCGGUACCCUAGAACCAUCAACGAGGAGCUCAUUGAGUUAGGGCAGCUUCCCGAUGACGUCGAUGACAUGGGAGAUGCUGCUGCUGCCUUGUUCGGUGUCGAUACCACUCCUAAUCCGGGGCCAGUAAGUGAUGCUGCUGGCUCUAAUGAACUUGAUUCAUUGACUUCUUCUAGUACUGGUAAACGUCGAUCUGCUGUUUGGGAUGACUUCACUGAAGUCACAGAAAACCGUAAUGGUAAGAAGGUGCGCAUUGCAGGUAUUUGCAAAUUUUGCAAAGCUAGGUUGAGUGCUAAUUCUAAUGCUGGCACUGGACAUUUGCUUAGGCACCAGAAAUCAUGUAAAAAGAAGUCUGAUCAUGCUGCUAUGGUUCAAACUAGACUUGCUUUGAACCCUGAUGGGUCUUUUAGAAACUGGGAAUAUGAUCCUCAAGUGGCUAGAACUGAGCUUUGUCGUUUGAUUGCUAGACUUGAUCUUCCUUUAGGGAUAGCUGACACAGAUGCUUGGGAUGAGUACAUUCAGCAUGCUCACAACCCUAGAUAUGUUAGAGUAUCUAGGUUUACAACUGCUAGAGACAUGGUUAAGUUAUACAAUGACAAAUUAAAGAACUUAAAAGAUGAUGUUUUUCCUACUGUGUCUUCUAUUUGCUUGACUUCUGAUAUAUGGUCUGGUAAUGCCAAGGAAGACUACAUUACUGUUGUUGCUCAUUUUGUUAAUGCUGAUUGGGAGUUAAAGAAGUGUGUGAUAGGCUUUAAAUUGAUCCAAGUGUCUCAUAAUGGUGUUAACAUUGCUGAACGCAUUGCUUGUGUGAUUCAAUACUUUGGCAUGAUUGAUAAAGUGUUCUCUGUUACCUUAGAUAAUGCUUUUUCUAAUUCAACUGCCAUGCUCACAUUGUCACCUAUGCUUGCUGGUGUUGGGGACUUGUUCUCAAAUGCUAUGAGUUAAGAACAAGGCAACACAGAAAAUGUUAAACGAUAAAGUCCUCCGUCCUUUGAAGCAUUAUUUCCCUUAGGAUAUAACGAUCUCCGGACGAAGGUCAUGAAGGACGAACCUUCAUCAUCACAGUAUACAAAAGACGAAGCAUAUAAAACAUAAAAAAUAACAUGAAUAUUUAUAUAAUAUUAUUCAUUUAACUUUGUUAUAUUAUCAUAGAGAAAUAGAAACAAUAUUGUAUUAUAAGUGUACCUUCGGCUUGGAAGGAGAUGAAAGUACAAGUGUGACGCAAAAAGCGAAUGCCAAGUCAGCGUGAACAGUACGGGGGUACUGUUCACCUAUUUAUAGGCACGGGAUACAACCCAUACAAAAUUACAUACAUGCCCUUUACAUUUGGUGAUAAUUCCAUAGCAAUCUAUCGAGGUCUAAAUGGCCUUUUCAUCUUUAAGUCGGUUCCCUUUUCUGCGAACAUGCCGAAGCUUUCCUGCUUCACAGCUUCGGCACUGCCAACCUUCGUAUCUUUUGAGGUUCUCCCUCUUUGAUAUAAGUCCGAAGGUACCUGUUCACACAUUACACUCUAGAAACACUGUUAAAUCAUGUUUUUGAGGACCUUCGGAAGCCGAAGGCCCCCAACAGUAGCCCCUCGCAAUAUUAAUUUGUUUGAAAUAAUAAAUUCAGAUUGCGAUAUGAACGAAGGCUUUAUGCCGAAGGUCCGAAAAAACACCUUCCCUUUGCUAGAAUAGCAACAUUCAAUGACAAGUGGGGUCUUUCAACUUUCAACGCAUCAAGCGUAUAAAUACGGCCAUACCGCAAACUUAUUUUGCACGCUUUCUGGCCAACCACUCCUGCUCACUCAUUUUUUAGCUCUUGUGCACUGUGAUCUGCUAAGUUUUUAGCUUUGAAGCUUCGGCUUUUAAAAACAGUUUUUUAGUGUUUCCGAAGAUGUCUGAAGCUGCUAAGAAGGCUGCUGCUGAGAUGAAGCUGAGUCUUGAUGAAGAGAAGAACUUAGGGUUUCUUAUAGCAAUGUCGAAGACCAACACAGAAAAGAUCACCAGGGAAAUUCUGGAAGGGCUGUCUGAAGAUACUGGUGACAGUGAAAGUUAUGAUGUGGACAGCGGUGGCGAAGACUCCGAAGAUCGCCCCUGGCGACCAAGCCAUUCAGUUUAUGGUAAAUCAACUAUCAAAGAGAAUCAUCUUGUUAAUAUGAGAGGAAGGUAUUUCCGGGACCUGUCCAUUGUGAGGGCGGACGAAGGGGAAAAAACUUGUCCACACCCUGAAGAAAAUGAAGUUGUGGUGUAUCGAAGCUUUUUGAAAGCUGGAUUGCGAUUCCCCUUGAGCAGCUUCGUCGUGGAGGUGUUGAAAAUCUUCGAAGUCUAUCUUCAUCAACUUACUCCCGAGGCAAUUAUAAGGCUAAAUAUCUUCGUGUGGGCCGCGAGAAGCCAAGGUCUGAAGCCUGACGCAAGAAGCUUCUGUAAUGUUCAUGAAUUAUUAUAUGAAACAAAGCCUUGGGGCAAAGAACAGUACCAUAACAACUUUGGCUGCUACAGCUUCGUCUCUCGGUCCGGGGCAAGCUGUCCCGUACCAACCUUUCGGAAGAGAUGGCCCGGGGAUUGGAUGACAGAAUGGUUUUAUGUGAAGAAUGACUUAUCAGCACGAGAAGACAUCAAAGGUAUAAUUAUGCGUCCUAUUUGGCAAAGCUUCGGCCUUCGGAGGCCGAAGGUUGAAAUGAACGAAGCCGCCGAAGAGUGCCAAAGAGCCUUCGGCGUUGUCUGCUCUUUUAUAGGAACAAGGGACUUAGUACAAGAGCAUAUUGCCUUCAGGGUGUGGCCGCUUGCGGAGAAAUGGGAAAUGCCACAAGAAACCAUUAAAGAGGCCGACGAAGGUGGACUUGUCAGGUUUAAGUACACUUUUAAAUUUGAAGAUAAAUUUAUUGAGCCAGAUGAUGAGUGGUUGAAAAGCAUUGACAAUUUAAGUGAUGAGCUGCUUGGGACAUACUCGAAGGCCGAAGAUACUGCAAUGUCAGCAGCCUUCGGAGGCCGAAAAAAGAAAAGGCUGAAUCGGGUAUUUGAUGCCAUCGGGUUUGUCUACCCUGACUAUUGCUACCCCAUUCGAAGGCAGAAGAGAAAAAAUACAACCUCUGCAAAAGAAGAAACUGCAGCUGCUCCUAGCGAGCCAGAACCGAAAAGGAAGAAGAUAAAGGUUCUUACUUAUCGACCGCGUUAUAUUGAACCAGCUUCGGUGCCUGAGUUUACCGGAGAGACUUCUUCGGCCACCGAAGCUGAAAAACCAGCCGAGCCAACUUUGCUGCCAGAAGUCACAGAAACAGCCGAAAUACCAACGAAGACAAAAUUGGAGCAAUCAAAAAUUUUGUUACCAGAAACGAAAGAGAAGGCCGAAGCGCCAUUCACAGAAAAAAUGGAAGAGGUAAAGGAAGCAACCGAGGACUCCAAAACAUCAGAAGUUUUGAGUCCUGUGGCAAACAUUGAAACAGUAAGUAAUCAAAAAGUGCCAGCAGUGACUCCGAAAAGAAGGAGAAUGGCUAAUGUGCUAGAUGUGCUGGAAACGAUCAAAUCUUCAAGCACCCCUCCGAAGAAGGCUGCCGUCACUCCUGAAACAACAGUCGAAGCUUCGGGUUCUAAAGCUCCAGAGCAAAAUACUGAAGCCGAAGCUGGGCCCUCAGAGCCCUCAAAGGCAAAAACCUUGGAAAGUGAGGCAGAAAAAAUAACAAAGCCAACUUUUGCUGAAGGAACUGGUGUUGUUACCCCCGAAGCAUCCAAAAUUCGUGAUUAUAUUUUUCGUCAUGCUUCGGGGAAAAAAUUAACAGAAAAAGAAGAACAAGAGGCCCAACACUAUGCCCAAAAGUUGAAAUAUCCAAAGGGGGCGUUGAUAUUUAAUGGCAGUGGAGAAGAAGAUUUCUUGUAUUGCCUCCCCGACAGCAAGGAAAUUUCUGUCUGUCGGGAGAUGAGCAGAAGCUUCGGAUUUCCAACUUUAGAAGACGGACUUUCGGUGCUGUCAAAGAACGAUCUGGCUGACAGCCUAGCUUACAACAGUUUAAAGGUGCGACAAAUGGAAUUCUUAUAUUUUUGUUGAAUUCAAAAUUUUUCGUUUGUUUAAAACUAUUGACAUAGACAUAUUCCUGUCUGCAGGGCCUGAUACUCAGCAAUGCCCUCAGAGCACAGAAAGAUGCUGAGGACGAAGGAUGUACUAUAGCCCUGAGCAACCUUCGUUCCGAAGUAAUUGAACUGAGGAACGAAGGUCUCGAAAAAGACAAAAUAUUAUACUCAUUGAUAGAUAAAAUAAAGGAGGACGAAGCUGCUUUCAAAAGUCAAGCUGAAGCUCAGAAACGCGAAAUUGAAGACCUUCGGAAACAACUGGCCAGAGCCAAAGAAGAACGUAUACUUGAAGAAACAAAGCGUGAACUCAGCGAUCAAUGGGCAGAUCAUCUAGAAGUGACUGUUGAAGAGCUUCGUUCGUCCAAAAAGAAAUGCUACAAUAAAUCUGUAGAUUGUGUUAAAAAAUUAAAGGCUAGCUUCGCCAAGGUCGGCGCAUUCUCAAGUGAAGAAAAUUUUUUGAGGGGCAAUCCCGAAAGUGUCAUUGAAUGGAUUGACCACGAAGCCGAAGCCUUCGAAGAAAUUUUAAAUAGCCGAGGAGAUAUAUGUGCCUUCUCUGGCGCCAGAGGGAUUGCCACCAUUUUAGAGAAGAAGGGCUGUGAGCAUGUGAAAAUUUUAGCACAGUCCGAAGCUGCUUUGUCCUUUGAAGAUACAAAAGAUCCUUCGGCCGAAGCUAGCAUAAUUGGUGGAAAGUUUUUUACUGAUAUCUGGGAUAACGGUGGCCGAGAAAUGGCAAGAGAAAUUAUUCAGAGAAGUGAAAAGGGCAUCCAUGAUGCUAGAGAAGUGGCUAAGGCUGCUGAAAAGAGCACAGAGCCCGAAGGUCAAUUAGGUACUAAAUAAUAGUUUUUACCGUGUUGUAAUCUUUAGGCUUUUAAGAUCUGUUUGCGAUUUGUAAUAGUAAUGUAGUCGUGUCCUGCUUCAGAUCCUACUAAAGCGCCUUCGGGCCCUCAGCCGAAGGGGGACGACGAAAUUAAAAAGAUGGCCGAAGAUAUUAUGGACGAAGUCGUCAAUCGGCUUCUGAAUGAAGCUGCAGAAGUCGUUUUGAGAGAGGAUUAAACAUUUUUGUAAAAAACCUCGGAAAUGUAAUAUAAUGUAACACUUUGUAACCCCGAAUGUAAUAUAUCUAUUUUUGCUACUCAAUUCUUUACGAUGCAUGAAACUUUACACACGUACCGUUUUUGAGUCUGGCGAAAAAACACCUUCCCUUCUUUUCAUGCUUCGUGAAGAAUAUCCAAGCUUCGUAAAAAAAAUUCUCGAAGCUAUACUUCGAAGAUGAAGAUUGUGUCUCCUUGUGACCACGAUUUUCACUCUUUCAGAUCAUACUUCCGAAGAUCAAUAUUGUGUCCCCUUCUUGUGACCACGAUUUUCACUCUUUCAAAUCAUACUUCCGAAGAUCAAUAUUGUGUCCCCUUCUUGUGCCAUAUGCAACAUGAUGUAUGAUGCUUAUGCUAUGCAAAAUGAUGUGAUGAUGUUAUGCUACGUAGAUGACAUUUGUUCCGAAAGAUACACACAUAUCCCCACACAAUAUUUUUGUAUCAGCACUGAUUCUUCGCUGUAAGCUCUGCAUUCCCUUAGGAACGUCUUUGGAGCUUCUUCGCCUUUUACUUAGGCGGUAUAAGCUCUGCAUUCCCUUAGGAACGUCUUUGGAGCUUCUUCGCCUUUUACUUAGGCGGUAUAAGCUCUGCAUUCCCUUAGGAACGUCUUUGGAGCUUCUUCGCCUUUUACUUAGGCGGUAUAAGCUCUGCAUUCCCUUAGGAACGUCUUUGGAGCUUCUUCGCCUUUUACUUAGGCGGUAUAAGCUCUGCAUUCCCUUAGGAACGACUUUGGAGCAGAAAACUUACACUGCGCUCCCUUCGGAACGACUUUUUGUGACUUCGUCAGGCUUACUCUGCGUUCCUUAGAACGACUUUUUGUUGCUUCGAAGGAUUUUCGGUAGUCCGAAGGUCCUUUUUAUUAUCACAAACCUGUGAAGAAAACAUAUUUUUCUUGUAGGAAUCAACGAAACUAAUUACAUGAAAACCUGAACAAUGUCCUUUAUUGCAGAAAAUAAAACUGAAUGAAAAAGAUUGCUAUUAAGGUAGGAUAUUUGUCAAUAGAUGUGCUUUGAUUCUGGCACGGUGCUGUUGACCGUGCGAGCUUCGGACUGUUCUCUGAAGUCCCUUUGAUGUGGAGCAUAUUGGCUCCCUUCUGGCUGCUGACCUUGUUGCAACGGAGGUGGAGGCGGAGGCUGUUGCCAGGAAGCUGAAGGCUGACUUGCCGAAGCAGCAGAGACUGCAGGAUGGUUGCCCACAUAUUCUGGGAUGUAGGGCGAAUGAUACGAAGCUGUAUGCAUGACCUGCUUCGGCUGGGCUUGUUGUGCUGCUGCUUCAGCUAUUUCCUUUUGCUUCUGUAUAGUAACAUGGCACAUCCUGGUAGUAUGGCCUUUGUUCUCACCGCAGAAUAAGCAAAAGAUUCUUCUUGGUUGAUCGCCAAAUCUUCCUCCGAAGCCCCUGGCGCCUCUGCCUCUUGGAGCUGGUGGCCGGAAGGAGCUUUGCUGUUGUCCAGAAGCCUGCGAGGAGCAUUGUGGCCUUUGCUGUUGGCUUCCUCUGUCAUCAUUUUGCGUAGAAUUGUGAAUUGAUCUCACAUGCCUCGGGUAAAACCUCCCUCCGAAGCCCCUGGUCAUUUCAGAAAAUCUGAAAGCCUCCUCCCUUCUUUGGCGAAAGUCAUUGUCGGCCCGAAUGUAUUCAUCCAUUUUCUGGAGAAGCUUCUCCAAAGUUUGAGGAGGCUUUCUGGCGAAGUACUGAGCUGACGGACCUGGCCGAAGCCCCUUGAUCAUGGCCUCAAUGACAAUUUCAUUGGGCACCGUUGGUGCCUGUGCCCUCAAACGCAAGAACCUUCGGACAUAUGCCUGAAGGUAUUCUUCGUGGUCCUGAGUGCACUGGAACAGAGCCUGAGCAGUGACCGGCUUCGUCUGAAAUCCUUGAAAGCUGGUUAACAACAAAUCCUUCAGCUUCUGCCAUGAAGUGAUCGUUCCUGGUCGAAGGGAGGAAUACCAGGUUUGAGCAACACUUCUGACAGCCAUAACGAAAGAUUUGGCCAUGACUGAAGCAUUGCCACCGUACGAAGACACUGUUGCUUCGUAGCUCAUCAAGAACUGCUUCGGGUCUGAAUGGCCAUCAAAUACGGGGAGCUGAGGCGGCUUGUAGGACGGAGGCCAAGGUGUAGCCUGUAACUCAGCGGACAGGGGAGAAGCAUCAUCAAAAACAAAAUUCCCACGAUGGAAAUUGUCAUACCAGUCGUCUUCGUUGUGAAAGCCCUCCUGAUGAAGGUCUUGAUGCUGAGGCCUUCGGUGUUGCUCAUCCUGAGCAAGAUGACGAACUUCUUCAGAGGCUUCAUCUAUCUGCCUCUGCAGUUCAGCUAGCCUGGCCAUCUUCUCCUUCCUGCGUUGAACCUGCUGCUGAAGGAUUUCCAGAUUCUGAAUCUCCUGAUCUAGAUCAUCCUCCGGAUGUGUUGGACUGGUAGCCUUCCUCUUCUGGCUUCGUGCCUCUCUGAGAGAAAGGACGUCUUGAUUGGGGUCCAGCGGCUGCAGCGUGCCAGCCCCUGGUGCUGAAGCCUUCUUCGGCGGCAUGACGAAGCUGAUGCUUGCCGAAGGUGUCGAAAAGCUCAGGAAAUGGAAGUGAGUUCACCGGAGGUGGGCGCCAAUGUUGGGGACUUGUUCUCAAAUGCUAUGAGUUAAGAACAAGGCAACACAGAAAAUGUUAAACGAUAAAGUCCUUCGUCCUUUGAAGCAUUAUUUCCCUUAGGAUAUAACGAUCUCCGGACGAAGGUCAUGAAGGACGAACCUUCAUCAUCACAGUAUACAAAAGACGAAGCAUAUAAAACAUAAAAAAUAACAUGAAUAUUUAUAUAAUAUUAUUCAUUUAACUUUGUUAUAUUAUCAUAGAGAAAUAGAAACAAUAUUGUAUUAUAAGUGUACCUUCGGCUUGGAAGGAGAUGAAAGUACAAGUGUGACGCAAAAAGCGAAUGCCAAGUCAGCGUGAACAGUACGGGGGUACUGUUCACCUAUUUAUAGGCACGGGAUACAACCCAUACAAAAUUACAUACAUGCCCUUUACAUUUGGUGAUAAUUCCAUAGCAAUCUAUCGAGGUCUAAAUGGCCUUUUCAUCUUUAAGUCGGUUCCCUUUUCUGCGAACAUGCCGAAGCUUUCCUGCUUCACAGCUUCGGCACUGCCAACCUUCGUAUCUUUUGAGGUUCUCCCUCUUUGAUAUAAGUCCGAAGGUACCUGUUCACACAUUACACUCUAGAAACACUGUUAAAUCAUGUUUUUGAGGACCUUCGGAAGCCGAAGGCCCCCAACAGUUGGUUAUUUGGGUGCUGAUGUUGAUCCAACAGAUACCAGUAACAAAACUUAUAGUGUGCUUCAUCAGCGUUGUGCAUGUCACAUUAUUAACUUGAUAGUGAAGUGUGGCUUGAAAAGGCUUAAGGAUUAUUUAGAUGUGUUUAGGACUGCUAUUAAUUUCUUAAACUCUUCUAACCAGAGAAUUGGUUCAUUUAGUAAUUACUGCAAAGCAAAAGGUUGUAGACCUAGAAAAUUUGGUUUAGACAUGGAUGUUAGAUGGAAUUCAACUUAUCUUAUGCUAAAACAUCUCUUGCCAUAUAAGUCUGUGUUUUCUGUGUUCAUUAAUACACACUAUGGCUAUCCUCUACUGAAUGAACAACAUUGGUAUGUAGCUGAAAAGGUUUUGGAGUUCCUUGAGCUGUUUUAUGAAUCAACUGUUGUCUUGUCUGGUGUUUAUUACCCCACCAGUCCUUUGGUAAUCCAUCACAUACUUGAAUUUGCUAGCCACUUGCAUGAACAUGAACAUGAUACUAAUCUAAGUGAUGUUGUUGUUCCAAUGAAAGCUAAGUUCAUGAAGUACUGGAAGUCUAUACCAAUGUUAUAUUCCUUUGCAUUUGUUCUAGACCCUAGAGCUAAAAUGAGGGGUUUGUAUAAUGUUCUUGAACUGCUUUCUCAAUCUAACAAUUAUAAUUACAGUACUUAUUUUGCUGAUGUUAAGACUGAGUUGUAUAAGCUAUAUGCCAAGUAUGAAACUAAGUUUGGUGCUGCUAGGCCAUCUAGAACCACACAUCAAUCAGGUAUGACAGGUAAAAGAAAACAGGCUUGGGGUAAAAUUUUUGGAGGAACAAGUGCUUCUAGAUCCUCAACUGCAUCAGGUUCUUCAGGUAGUAGUGGACAUGGUGUGGGUAUUUGUGAGCUAACUGUUUACCUUGACAGUGACAAUGUGGCUGCCUAUGAGGAUGAUUUUGAUAUCUUAAAUUGGUGGCAUGAGCAUAAACUAACCUAUCCAAUUCUUUCAAUUAUGGCUAGAGACAUUAUGUCUGUUCCUGCCUCAACUACUUCUUCGGAGUCUACUUUCAGUUUGUCUGGCAGGAUUCUUGAGGAUCGACGACGGCGCUUGAACUCAGAGACAGUGGAGAUGUUGGUGUGCAUCAAAGAUUGGGAGCUAGGCCAACAACGGGCACAACAUGCUGUGGUGGACAAUGAAUUAGAGGAGUCCUUCAAGGACCUCUGGCUGGAUGAAGAUGCUGGUGCUACUAACACUUUGGCUUGAUGUGUCCUAAUACUUUGUCUUGAUCUGUCAUUCUGUCCUGAUAGUCUGAUACUUAGGCAGUUAGGCUUGAUCUGUCCUGAUACUUUGGCUUGACCUGUCCUGAUACUUUGGCUUGUACAUUGUAAUAACUUUGAACAUUUGAAUUAUAAACUGAGCUGGCCGUACUCUUUUUUCCUUUCUAGGGUUUCUCACGAGGUGUGAGUUUUACCUAGAAAGGUUUUUAAUGAGGCGGCAUUGCACUAACAGCUCAAUAUUGUGUAUAUUUUCUAUGUGAAUUGUGUUUUACUGUAUUUUGUAUGUUAUCGGGCUUCGGGCUGGCCCGACACUGCUUUGGGCCAGGGCUUUUCGGGCUGGCCCGGCCCGAAAAACGGCCCGCUGGGCCGUGCCUGGGCCUGAUGCAAGGCACGCAGGACUGUGCAGGCACGGCACGGUAGGCCCGUGGGCCUGGGCGUGCCGUGCCUUUUUGGGCCGUGCCUAGACCGGGCCCGGGCCGUGCCGUGCCGGGCGGCACGUUUGCUCAUCUAUAAUCCCGUGCGUGACUGCUGGUGACCGCUGACGCCGGUGCUCGCGCGCAUAUGCAUGCUGCAAGGUUCUGCUGGGGCAAGUGUUGCGUUCGGUGCGCGAGGGCACCCGCACGACGGGCACGUGAGGCGUACAUGAGCUCCUGCGGCCUCUGCUGCAAGGAGUGCAACUGCGAAGCCGCCGCGCGACAUCCAUGACUGCCCUUGCUACCGCAACAUGCUCACAGCCGGCCCCAAGAAGAGGCCCAAGUGUCCUUGAGACUGAGACUGCGAGGCUGGCUCACACGACGACAUCCAUGGGACUGCGACUGAUGCCUGCAACUGCGAUUCGAUCCAUGCUGGGCCACACAACCUGUUAUACAUGUUAUGGAUCCAGAUACUUAUUUGGUUGUUAGAUUUUUUGUUGUUAUUUCGUUGUUAGAUUUUUGGUUUUCUUUGUUUGGUUGUGAAUAUGUAGAAUGCAUGAUCUACUAUGCAUAUUUGUAUUUUGUUUUUAGCAUUGAGCUACUUAAGAUUUUAAAAAAUAAAUAUCGAAUUUGUCC